AACGAACGCUGGCGGCAUGCCUAACACAUGCAAGUCGAACGAGACCUUCGGGUCUAGUGGCGCACGGGUGCGUAACGCGUGGGAACCUGCCCUUAGGUUCGGAAUAACUCCCCGAAAGGGGUGCUAAUACCGGAUAAUGUCUUCGGACCAAAGAUUUAUCGCCUUUGGAUGGGCCCGCGUUGGAUUAGCUAGUUGGUAGGGUAAAAGCCUACCAAGGCGACGAUCCAUAGCUGGUCUGAGAGGAUGAUCAGCCACACUAGGACUGAGACACGGCCCAGACUCCUACGGGAGGCAGCAGUGGGGAAUAUUGGACAAUGGGCGAAAGCCUGAUCCAGCAAUGCCGCGUGAGUGAUGAAGGCCUUAUGGUUGUAAAGCUCUUUUACCCGGGAUGAUAAUGACAGUACCGGGAGAAUAAGCUCCGGCUAACUCCGUG
RNAcentral lists this ribosomal RNA (433 nucleotides) under uncultured bacterium. RNAcentral's name for it is "partial 16S ribosomal RNA". It matches the Rfam family "Bacterial small subunit ribosomal RNA", at positions 29 to 507 of the family's 1533-position model. The record is from RNAcentral.